This 814-nucleotide unclassified non-coding RNA is filed under the name Anthonomus grandis grandis. RNAcentral's name for it is "uncharacterized LOC126737669". Lineage: Eukaryota; Metazoa; Arthropoda; Insecta; Coleoptera; Curculionidae. The record is from RNAcentral.
UUUUACAUUUUUAGACGUGGUCUGACUAUAAACAGGGACUUAAGAGAAGAGCUGCAGAUAUAAAAAGGGAGCGAAUGAAGACGGGGGGUGGGCCAGCAUAUCCUGAUAUGCUAUCAGAUACUGAUCAAAGAGUUAUCCUUAUUUUGGGAAAAACAUUUUUUGAAGGAUGUGGAGUGGAGGAGAAGGGUGUCUCUAGACGCACAAUUAAUUUUAGGCGCGCAUUUUAGACACGCCACUGAAACCAUAUCUUAAGCCCCAUCGUCAUGGAGGACGACGACGCGUCACUCUACCACGUCGCACGCCACGAGUAGCAACUCCGACUCCCUAUCGGGAAAACUAGGUGCUGCAAGACAGGUUGGCCACUUUAAUUGUGGAGGAUUGCCUUACCUUGCCUUGCUGAACAAAAACUGGUAGUGACAUUAAUCUGAGACACGCGAGGACGUGUGACCUGUCAGUAUGGCCGUGUCGUAGUGGCUGCUAAACGUCAAGCCUUAUCAAGCUUGGGUGGAAUCGAAAAAAAUAUUCUCGGGGAAGUACCGAAGUGAUGGAAGUGCUGCUUGCAUACACGGGAGUCGGGACUGAGGCAGUCACGAUUUGGCAUUACCGUCGAGAUCUCCGCGUUUAGCGAUAAACCAAUCUUUUUUUAUCUCUGUAUUUUUACAACUGUAUUUUGUUUCUUUCAAAUAAUUAUUAUUCGUGGACAGUUAGUUUGUGACUUCAUAGUACAUACUUAGUUAAUAAAGUUUUGUGCAAAGACAGUGUGUUUCGAUUAUGGCUGACAAACCCUCAGAGAGUCCCCCGACAUAUUUAUGUA